CCUACGGUGUGCUGCAGUGGGGAAUAUUGGACAAUGGGCGAAAGCCUGAUCCAGCCAUGCCGCGUGUGUGAAGAAGGCCUUCGGGUUGUAAAGCACUUUCAGUGGGGAAGAAAGCCUUGGGGCUAAUACCCUCGAGGAAGGACAUCACCCACAGAAGAAGCACCGGCUAACUCCGUGCCAGCAGCCGCGGUAAUACGGAGGGUGCGAGCGUUAAUCGGAAUUACUGGGCGUAAAGCGCGCGUAGGCGGUCUGAUAAGCCGGUUGUGAAAGCCCCGGGCUCAACCUGGGAACGGCAUCCGGAACUGUCAGGCUAGAGUGCAGGAGAGGAAGGUAGAAUUCCCGGUGUAGCGGUGAAAUGCGUAGAGAUCGGGAGGAAUACCAGUGGCGAAGGCGGCCUUCUGGACUGACACUGACGCUGAGGUGCGAAAGCGUGGGUAGCAAACAGGAUUAGAUACCCCUGUAGUC
Molecule: ribosomal RNA, 465 nt
Filed under: Vreelandella stevensii
Lineage: Bacteria; Pseudomonadati; Pseudomonadota; Gammaproteobacteria; Oceanospirillales; Halomonadaceae
Description: partial 16S ribosomal RNA
Rfam family: Bacterial small subunit ribosomal RNA
Source: RNAcentral